UCCCUCAUAGCUCAGACAGUAAAGAAUCAGCCUGCAAAGCUGGAGACCCAGAUUCAAUCUCUGGUUGGGUAG
Molecule: transfer RNA, 72 nt
Filed under: Bos taurus (domestic cattle)
Lineage: Eukaryota; Metazoa; Chordata; Mammalia; Artiodactyla; Bovidae
Also listed under: 4 other names
Rfam family: tRNA
About the family: Transfer RNA (tRNA) molecules are approximately 80 nucleotides in length. Their secondary structure includes four short double-helical elements and three loops (D, anti-codon, and T loops). Further hydrogen bonds mediate the characteristic L-shaped molecular structure. tRNAs have two regions of fundamental functional importance: the anti-codon, which is responsible for specific mRNA codon recognition, and the 3' end, to which the tRNAs corresponding amino acid is attached (by aminoacyl-tRNA synthetases). tRNAs cope with the degeneracy of the genetic code in two manners: having more than one tRNA (with a specific anti-codon) for a particular amino acid; and 'wobble' base-pairing, i.e. permitting non-standard base-pairing at the 3rd anti-codon position.
Source: Rfam by way of RNAcentral